Pimephales promelas (fathead minnow) is the source of this 452-nucleotide non-coding RNA. Lineage: Eukaryota; Metazoa; Chordata; Actinopteri; Cypriniformes; Leuciscidae. The record is from RefSeq and is a predicted model, not a curated record.
CACGUUGAUUUAGACGGACAGCUUUCUAACAUUACACUAUCAGUCCGUCUGUAAAUGCUUCAUCAAUAACUGUUGAUAGAUGAAGACCCUUGACUUCAGUCAUGUCCAGUUUCUCUUCUUCCUCUCAUGUUUCCUGCAGUGAUUGUGAGUAUUGUUGAGAUGGCAGUGUUUGCUGCUCCUACUGUGAUUCUUCUUCAGAUCAUCUGUGCAAGAAGAGCUGGGAGGAAGAACUCGAGACACCCGGAGGAAAUAGAGAUGCCUGCAAUACAACAAUAAAAACUGAAAAAAACUCUUCCUCCAUUUCUCGACGUCUGUCGCCAUGGUUACUGUGGUUGUAUGAGCAGAAACUGAGGGUGACGUGGUUAUGACGCCAUUGACUGGAAACUCCCUCAGCCCUGCUCACACGCCCCGUUUCCUUGGUUACCAUCGCAAUUUUCUCGCUUUUGGAUAUU